AACUGAUGAAUACAAAAACAAUCUUAACCCUACAAGACAAGUAUAGAUUGAGUUGGGCUGUUACAAGUUUAAUUCAUAACAGUUACAUUGCCUCACCCCUGCCAUCAAACACUUCAGUGGCUUCAAGUGUAGGCGUAGCCUCUACAGGUACUGCAGCAGAGGGAAAGCAGAGUCAGGAGGGUCUUGGAAGAAGUUCAGAAAAGAUCCAAAUAGGCAGUCUGAACAGUCUUACUUGUUUGCAGGUGGAGUAAUGCACGAAUGGAUAAAAAAGAGUGAGAGGUUAUCAGCUGUUGAGGAGCAAAUGGAGAUCCGUGUCCAGGGGAGUGAGGCUAUUGCGAGUGUGAAAGGUUGUCCAGGAAGUAACUAAGAAGACAUGAACAGAGAGGUGGUGAUCCUCAGAGGACCGAUGAAGUAGAGCAGCCAGCACCCCAAGUAGAGCAGGCACUGUGGAAAAAUAGUUGUGACUCAACUAGACCAUUACAAAGUAUGGCCUGGAGGAUUUUCAUCUCAAGGUGCAAGAACAUUCUUAAUGACUGUACACGGCGGCUGCUGAUGGACGAUGUUGGGCCAGAUGUGCUACAGUUAGCGUUAAGGAGGUUGGAGACUAUGCAGAGAAGCCUUCAGUGGGCAAGAGGAAGACUGAUCAAUGUAACUGCAGCAGAUCAACUUCUGCGUGACUUGGCUGAAUUGAUUCAGGAGGUCGAACUGUCUACUCAGCAUGGCCAACAAGGCUGUUUUGGAUACCAGGCACCAGUGGUUUUCAACAGAGGUAGAGGUAGAUCCCUUUACCUUAUCACUCGGGAACAGCUUUCAUUCCUGAAGUCAUGUGGAUUCACUGCACCUCAGAUGGCUGAUAUUUUGAAUGUUUCACUUCCUACAAUUCGAAGAC
Oreochromis niloticus (Nile tilapia) is the source of this 889-nucleotide long non-coding RNA. RefSeq lists it as uncharacterized. NCBI's taxonomy places the organism in Eukaryota, Metazoa, Chordata, Actinopteri, Cichliformes, Cichlidae. The record is from RefSeq and is a predicted model, not a curated record. The transcript is spliced from 4 exons.